GACGAACGCUGGCGGCGUGCCUAAUACAUGCAAGUAGAACGCACAGUUUAUACCGUAGCUUGCUACACCAUAAACUGUGAGUUGCGAACGGGUGAGUAACGCGUAGGUAACCUGCCUGGUAGCGGGGGAUAACUAUUGGAAACGAUAGCUAAUACCGCAUAAUAUUGAUUAUUGCAUGAUAAUUGAUUGAAAGAUGCUAUUGCAUCACUACCAGAUGGACCUGCGUUGUAUUAGCUAGUAGGGGAGGUAACGGCUCACCUAGGCGACGAUACAUAGCCGGCCUUGGAGGGUUGUCGGCCCCCCUGGGACCUGGACCCGGCCCAGACUCCUCCGGGAGGCAGCAGUAGGGAAUCUUCGGCAAUGGACGACAGUCUGACCGAGCAACGCCGCGUGAGUGAAGAAGGGUUUCGGAUCGUAAAGCUCUGUUGUAAGAGAAGAACGGGUGUGAGAGUGGAAAGUUCACACUGUGACGGUAUCUUACCAGAAAGGGACGGCUAACUACGUG
This 505-nucleotide ribosomal RNA is filed under the name uncultured bacterium. RNAcentral describes it as "partial 16S ribosomal RNA". It matches the Rfam family "Bacterial small subunit ribosomal RNA", at positions 28 to 507 of the family's 1533-position model. The record is from RNAcentral.